CUCCUGCACCUCUUCAACUAUGAGGUUGUACAUUUGGGCAGACUCAUUGGGAAUAAUGUCGUCUCGGAUAUCCCAGACCUCGGAGCAACGUAAGCUAGGCAACGGUACAAGGCCUGGGGAGGAUGUUGGCUUCUCUCUGACAUUUCGAAAGAAGGAAAAAAAUGUAUUUUCUUUCCCGGGGAGGGUCCUCUUCAGACAGACAACUCUUCCAUCAAAUCACAGGUUUGGGUAGACGGGGGUUAAAAUGCGGGCGGGAAUUGUGCUCAUGUUUAUCUGGGCAACAAGUGGACACGGCAGUGACUUGCGUCCUGUUUUAGACUCGUCCUCUCUGUCUCAACUGACGCUGGAACAUUGGAACUCCCUGGCCCCCACCUUUGCAGCGCUCCAGGAUCGGAGUCAAAUCAGUUUUCAACUUGCAAUCAAUUCAGGAAAUCGUCAUAGAAAACAAUGGACAAUUUUCAAGACUUGUUGAAUUUCAACUCUCUUCCCAAGUUGAACAUUAAAUUGACCCCAAAUCCCCAGCACCCCACACCCUUUUCCCAAAUCCUGUCCAUUUCUCAACUCCAGUAAUGAUGGCACCAUCCCAACUAUAAGAUAUCGGGCCCCUUAAACAUCUGUCAGAUCUCUGUCAAUACAUUGACAGAUAUGGUAAAGGUCAGGUGACAUAGAGUGUUUAAUUCAUCUAAAGGAUUUGCCUCUUGGUCUAUGAUGGUGUUUUGGGGCUUCUUCUCAAUCAACAUUCCCUCUUGACUAGAUGGCAAUAUAUACUGUAUAUUAUUUAUGUCUCUCUCUCCCCCUCUCUCUCUCUUCCCCUCUCUCUUCCCUUUCUCUCCUCUGCUCCUGAAAGACUGAAAACCACAAAAAAGAAGGGGAAAAAAACCAAAAGCUUUCAGACACGGCAGAUUUAUCAGUGGCUUUUCUCUGUGGUUGUUUUCCCUGUUUUUCCCUCGCUCUCUCCCACAUCUGUUUAAGUUAUCUCUUUACAGUCCGGUGUUACCCUAGAAACCAAAGCAAACAGUGAGCCACUGCAGCCUCAGAGCACAAUACCUCCCUGUCUCCCUGUCUCCCUCGCUCCCUCCCUCCAUCUCUCUCUCUGCUUGCCCCCCUUCAUCCCAGAGGCUGCCCUGCCAAUCAGACUUCUAAAUUGAAUUCCUUUUUUUUCUCCUCUAAAAUAAAGAAUGAUGAGUUUUACAGUGUGUCGGGGGAGAGAAGUGGGGGACAGAGAGCGCUCUGUGGGAAUCUAUAAGUCUAAGGUUUGAAGAAUGAUAAAAGAAAGGAGCAUUUCGACACACUGUAAUAUUAUAUAAACUCAACUUUCUGGAGGGCUCUAUUUUUGCUCCUAAUCUUUUUGGGCAACCUAUCCUCUACCCUGAAACUGUCUUUUGUAUGAUACAGUGUCUAUCCAAAUAUCACAUGAAUGUCAGUACAGUCCAGAGAAAGGGGAAAUCCAGGACCCACACCUCUAUCUAAAGUCCUGUUUGCCAGACCGCCUCUAGGUGUCUGUAAUCACCCCCUUCCCCUUUCAAUGCCAUCAAUCUUCCAGUAUUUCAU
RNAcentral lists this long non-coding RNA (1551 nucleotides) under Salmo salar (Atlantic salmon). RNAcentral describes it as "lncRNA (ENSSSAG00000118257.1)". The record is from RNAcentral. Lineage: Eukaryota; Metazoa; Chordata; Actinopteri; Salmoniformes; Salmonidae.